AAACAUUUCUUUUAGAUUAAAAUUUAAAGUAAGUUCUGCUCAAUGAAUAUUAUUAAAUAGCUGCAGUAUUUUGACUGUACAAAGGUAGCAUAAUAAAUUGUUUUUUAAUUGAAAACUAGAAUGAAUGAAUUAAUGAAAUAAAAACUUUAUUUAAAUAAAAAAUUGAAUUUUAUUUUUAAGUUAAAAAGCUUAAAUUAAUUUAUAAGACGAUAAGACCCUAUAGAAUUUUAUUUAUUAUAAAAAAGUUAAUUUUAUAAUAAAUUAAUUUAAUUUAUGAUAAAUUUUUUUGGGAGGAAAAUUAAAUUUAAUGAACUUUUAUAAAUUAAUUACAAUUAUAAUUGUUAUUGAAGUUAAUGAAUUUAUUUAAUUAUAAUAAUUAAAUUAAAUUACCUUAGGGAUAACAGCGUAAUAUUUUUGGAUAGUUCAUAUUGAUAAAAAUGUU
Molecule: ribosomal RNA, 442 nt
Filed under: Anisepyris sp.
Lineage: Eukaryota; Metazoa; Arthropoda; Insecta; Hymenoptera; Bethylidae
Description: partial large subunit ribosomal RNA
Source: RNAcentral